RNAcentral lists this ribosomal RNA (472 nucleotides) under uncultured bacterium. Its description in RNAcentral is "bacterial SSU rRNA". It matches the Rfam family "Bacterial small subunit ribosomal RNA", at positions 28 to 494 of the family's 1533-position model. The record is from RNAcentral.
GAUGAACGCUAGCGGCAGGCUUAACACAUGCAAGUCGAGGGGCAGCACGGGUAGCAAUACCUGGUGGCGACCGGCGCAAGGGUGCGUAACGCGUGAGCAACAUGCCCUAUACAGGGGGAUAAUCCAGGGAAACUUGGUCUAAUAUCCCAUAGUAUUUAGAGGAGGCAUCUUCUAUAAAUUAAAGCUUCGGUGGUAUAGGAUUGGCUCGCGUGACAUUAGCUAGAUGGUGAGGUAACGGCUCACCAUGGCAAUGAUGUCUAGGGGUUCUGAGAGGAAGGCCCCCCACACUGGGACUGAGACACGGCCCAGACUCCUACGGGAGGCAGCAGUGAGGAAUAUUGGACAAUGGAUGGAAAUCUGAUCCAGCCAUGCCGCGUGCAGGAAGACAGCCCUAUGGGUUGUAAACUGCUUUUAUAUGGGAGCAAUAAGGUCUACGUGUAGACUGAUGAGAGGUACCAUAUGAAUAAGCAUC